AACGAACGCUGGCGGCAUGCCUAACACAUGCAAGUCGAACGAGACCUUCGGGUCUUGUUGCGCAGGGGUGCGUAACGAGGGGGAAGUUGCCCUUAGGUUACGAAUAACUCACCGAAGGGGGUGCUAAUGACAGAUGAUGUAUUAGGACAAAAGAUUUAUCGCCUUUGGAUGGGGCCGCGUUAGAUUAGCUGGUUGGUAGGGUAUAAGCAUACCAAGGCGACGUUGCAUAGCUGGUCUGAGAGGAUGAUCAGCCAGGCUGGUACUGAGGCACGGCCCAGACUCCUACGGGAGGCUGCAGUAGGGAGUAUUGGGCAAUGGACGAUAGUGUAGUCCAGCAGUGCCGCGUGAGUGGUGAAGGCGUUAGGGUUGUAAAUCUCCUUUAGCCGAGGUGAUAGUGACAGUACCGGGUGAAUAAGCUCCGGCUAACUCCGUG
This 433-nucleotide ribosomal RNA is filed under the name uncultured bacterium. RNAcentral's name for it is "partial 16S ribosomal RNA". It matches the Rfam family "Bacterial small subunit ribosomal RNA", at positions 29 to 507 of the family's 1533-position model. The record is from RNAcentral.